Molecule: ribosomal RNA, 490 nt
Filed under: uncultured bacterium
Lineage: Bacteria
Description: partial 16S ribosomal RNA
Rfam family: Bacterial small subunit ribosomal RNA
Source: RNAcentral
AUUGAACGCUGGCGGCAGGCCUAACACAUGCAAGUCGAACGGUAACAGGAAGAAGCUUGCUUCUUUGCUGACGAGUGGCGGACGGGUGAGUAAUGUCUGGGAAACUGCCUGAUGGCGGGGGAUAACUACUGGAAACGGUAGCUAAUACCGCAUAACGUCGCAAGACCAAAGAGGGGGACCUUCGGGCCUCUUGCCAUCGGAUGUGCCCAGAUGGGAUUAGCUAGUAGGUGGGGUAACGGCUCACCUAGGCGACGAUCCCUAGCUGGUCUGAGAGGAUGAUCAGCCACACUGGAAAUGAGACAGGGUCCAGACUCCUACGGGAGGCAGCAGUGGGGAAUAUUGCGCAAUGGGCGAAAGACUGAUGGAGCAAUGCCGAGUGAGUGAUGAAGGUCGUCGGGGUGUAAAGUCCUGUUAUUAGGGAAGAACACAUGCAGAAGAAAACAUCCCCGUCUUGACGGUAACUAAAGAGAAAGCAACGGCUAACGACGUG